AUGCUAUACAUGCAGUCGAGCGGACAGAAGGGAGCUUGCUCCCGGAUGUUAGCGGCGGACGGGUGAGUAACACGUGGGUAACCUGCCUGUAAGACUGGGAUAACUCCGGGAAACCGGAGCUAAUACCGGAUAGUUCCUUGAACCGCAUGGUUCAAGGAUGAAAGACGGUUUCGGCUGUCACUUACAGAUGGACCCGCGGCGCAUUAGCUAGUUGGUGGGGUAAUGGCUCACCAAGGCGACGAUGCGUAGCCGACCUGAGAGGGUGAUCGGCCACACUGGGACUGAGACACGGCCCAGACUCCUACGGGAGGCAGCAGUAGGGAAUCUUCCGCAAUGGACGAAAGUCUGACGGAGCAACGCCGCGUGAGUGAUGAAGGUUUUCGGAUCGUAAAGCUCUGUUGUUAGGGAAGAACAAGUGCGAGAGUAACUGCUCGCACCUUGAAGGUACCUAACCCAGAAAGCCACGGCUAACUACGUGCCAGCCGCCGCGGGUAUUACUAGGUGGCAAGCGUUGUCCGGAAUAUAUGGGGCCGUAAGGGGCUCGCAGGCGGUUUUCUUAAUCUGAUGUGAAAGCCCCCGCGCUCAACCCGGGGAAGGGUCUUGGAAACUGGAAACUUGAGUUGGCAAAAAAGAGAGUGGGAUAUCCCCUGUAACGGUGAAAUGCCGUUAAGAUGUGGAGAACACACCGGGGGGAAAGAAUUUGGGGAACAAAAAGGAUAUUUAUACCCCUGUGUGUCUCCCCCCCUAACACAGAAAUGUGUACCGGUGU
RNAcentral lists this ribosomal RNA (769 nucleotides) under Bacillus sp. EGU57. RNAcentral's name for it is "bacterial SSU rRNA". It matches the Rfam family "Bacterial small subunit ribosomal RNA", at positions 44 to 727 of the family's 1533-position model. The record is from RNAcentral. Lineage: Bacteria; Bacillati; Bacillota; Bacilli; Caryophanales; Bacillaceae.